RNAcentral lists this ribosomal RNA (671 nucleotides) under Variovorax sp. SA049. RNAcentral's name for it is "bacterial SSU rRNA". It matches the Rfam family "Bacterial small subunit ribosomal RNA", at positions 84 to 751 of the family's 1533-position model. The record is from RNAcentral. Lineage: Bacteria; Pseudomonadati; Pseudomonadota; Betaproteobacteria; Burkholderiales; Comamonadaceae.
CCUGGCGGCGAGUGGCGAACGGGUGAGUAAUACAUCGGAACGUGCCCAAUCGUGGGGGAUAACGCAGCGAAAGCUGUGCUAAUACCGCAUACGAUCUACGGAUGAAAGCAGGGGAUCGCAAGACCUUGCGCGAAUGGAGCGGCCGAUGGCAGAUUAGGUAGUUGGUGAGGUAAAGGCUCACCAAGCCUUCGAUCUGUAGCUGGUCUGAGAGGACGACCAGCCACACUGGGACUGAGACACGGCCCAGACUCCUACGGGAGGCAGCAGUGGGGAAUUUUGGACAAUGGGCGAAAGCCUGAUCCAGCCAUGCCGCGUGCAGGAUGAAGGCCUUCGGGUUGUAAACUGCUUUUGUACGGAACGAAACGGCCUUUUCUAAUAAAGAGGGCUAAUGACGGUACCGUAAGAAUAAGCACCGGCUAACUACGUGCCAGCAGCCGCGGUAAUACGUAGGGUGCAAGCGUUAAUCGGAAUUACUGGGCGUAAAGCGUGCGCAGGCGGUUAUGUAAGACAGUUGUGAAAUCCCCGGGCUCAACCUGGGAACUGCAUCUGUGACUGCAUAGCUAGAGUACGGUAGAGGGGGAUGGAAUUCCGCGUGUAGCAGUGAAAUGCGUAGAUAUGCGGAGGAACACCGAUGGCGAAGGCAAUCCCCUGGACCUGUACUGACGCUCAUG